Mauremys mutica (yellowpond turtle) is the source of this 761-nucleotide long non-coding RNA. RefSeq lists it as uncharacterized. The transcript is spliced from 3 exons. The record is from RefSeq and is a predicted model, not a curated record. NCBI's taxonomy places the organism in Eukaryota, Metazoa, Chordata, Testudines, Geoemydidae.
GUCUCCUUCUCGAGGUCUCUCCUUGAGGACCGAGAGAGAAUUCACUUUCACUUACGUGAGCGCCAGGAGGACCCUCUUUGGAGUUUUCUCCUUUUCUUUUAUUGAUUUUGCUAGAACACAGACAUCCCUGUAUAGAAGCCAGUCGAUCACCCUAGUGUCAUUACCCUGCCUGCUGGCUGGGCAGGUAACUCCUCUGGUCACCACCCUCUCCAGCCUGCCUUGGGCUUGGAGAGUGAGGAGGAGGGUGAGGGACAUCUGCUGACCCUGAACAUCCGCCAUCCAUCAUACCAUCUCCUAGAGCAAGAUGGCCAGGCUCCUGCGCAGGUUCAGGAGGAAGGCUCUGCAGGUGGCUCCAGAGCCUGAGGGAAGCAGCGGCCAUCUUCCCCAGGGGCAGAGCCACCUCUCCGUCCCCGCUGGCGGGGAAGCAGCUCCCAUGCAGGCCAGAAGGCGGAAGUUCCCAGCCUUCUGGAGAACAAGGCCAGCUCCCGGCGCAGGCGCCGAGCUGGGAGAGGCCCCGACCAAGCCCAGGUGGAGCUGGCUCAGGAAGAGGUUUUGCGGACAGGACCCAGCCCAGGAGGGGCGCCGGGCAGGGAGGCUCCGGGGCCUCUUAUGUGAGCAGCAGUGGCCCCAGGAGCCCAGCCCCCAUUCCCAGCAGGGGGCAUCGCCCUGCCCGGGCUCUGAGGAUCUUUCAGCCCCCUCAGACCAGGAGGUGGAAGAUCCCAGCACCAGCACCAUCGGCUCAGCACGGGACAGCAGCAGUG